This is a long non-coding RNA of Triticum aestivum (bread wheat), 862 nucleotides long. RefSeq lists it as uncharacterized. The record is from RefSeq and is a predicted model, not a curated record. Lineage: Eukaryota; Viridiplantae; Streptophyta; Magnoliopsida; Poales; Poaceae. The transcript is spliced from 4 exons.
CACACAUCCAACAUCGCCAUGGACCAGUAGCUCAAGCCGUCUUCUUCCAGAUGGUGAUGGGGUUCCCUCACCAUCUGCAGGUCAUCAUCCUUAAGGGCUCCACCAUCUGCAGGGUCUAACCACCUUGAUUUGAUUCGGGCUGGAGCAGCAGCAGCAGGUCCUUCCUUCCAUGGAGGGCAUCCACAACAUGACCCGCACAAGGAGCUCCAAGCAGACAAAGCACAGGUUUCUUUGUUUGUAAAUUAAGCAGUCUGGUAGAUUUGGAAAGGAGGAACAGGGUACUGAACUUUUAUAUAUCUGCACAAGGAAUACUAUGUUAUGUAAGAACAUGGCGGUGCAGUCACCCGAGGUGAAGAAGCUCUGUCACCUACCUCUACAUCCUCCACUAGGCUGACAAGCACAACUGCUAACAAGUAUGCUAAUCCACCCUCAUCUGCAUCGCUUCCUCCUAGCCUGUGAUUUAUGACAUGGAGCAUGUUGUUCUGUUAUCAUAUACACGAAUCUGUCCAUGCUUAAAUGUGGUCAUAGGUUGUGGAAUAGGAGAAACAAUAUAAUGUUCUUUAGCAGAUGCAAACCUGUCCAUGCCUUAUUUGGACCAAUAAUUACUGGUGUUGCCUAUUUGAUAUGUAAACAUAUUUUUUUGGAUGUCUCAGAAAAAUGCCAUGCUACUACAUAAGUUUGAAUCAAACAAAUUAAAUUUGUAAUAAGAUCCCUGAAAGUAAUUAAGUGCUUCUUGAAUGCAUGGAAACAACAAGUUAGAUAUCUCAGAGGUACUAUGUCAUAUAUUCUGAAAGUGGCGCACAUGGAUAUGUAUUCUUGGUUAGCUUUAUGUUCCAUUUCUGUUGUACAUGCUCCAAGAGUU